GACAAAAUUGUCUUUUGUGAGACAAAAUUGUCUUUUGUGGAACAAAAUUGUCUUUUGUGAGACAAAAUUGAGACAAAAUUGAAUUUUGUCUCACAAAAGUCAAUUUUGUCCGUACAAGA
This 119-nucleotide small RNA is filed under the name Mytilus galloprovincialis (Mediterranean mussel). The record is from RNAcentral. Lineage: Eukaryota; Metazoa; Mollusca; Bivalvia; Mytilida; Mytilidae.